RNAcentral lists this ribosomal RNA (427 nucleotides) under uncultured bacterium. Its description in RNAcentral is "partial 16S ribosomal RNA". It matches the Rfam family "Bacterial small subunit ribosomal RNA", at positions 355 to 774 of the family's 1533-position model. The record is from RNAcentral.
UGGGGAAUUUUGGACAAUGGGCGAAAGCCUGAUCCAGCAAUGCCGCGUGAGUGAAGAAGGCCUUCGGGUUGUAAAGCUCUUUUGUCAGGGAAGAAACGGUGAGGGCUAAUAUCCCUUGCUAAUGACGGUACCUGAAGAAUAAGCACCGGCUAACUACGUGCCAGCAGCCGCGGUAAUACGUAGGGUGCAAGCGUUAAUCGGAAUUACUGGGCGUAAAGCGUGCGCAGGCGGUUUUGUAAGGCUGAUGUGAAAUCCCCGGGCUCAACCUGGGAAUUGCAUUGGAGACUGCAAGGCUAGAAUCUGGCAGAGGGGGGUAGAAUUCCACGUGUAGCAGUGAAAUGCGUAGAUAUGUGGAGGAACACCGAUGGCGAAGGCAGCCCCCUGGGUCAAGAUUGACGCUCAUGCACGAAAGCGUGGGGAGCAAACA